RNAcentral lists this long non-coding RNA (248 nucleotides) under Ananas comosus (pineapple). RNAcentral's name for it is "long non-coding RNA (ACOM_LNC014627)". The record is from RNAcentral. Lineage: Eukaryota; Viridiplantae; Streptophyta; Magnoliopsida; Poales; Bromeliaceae.
CACAAUUCUACCUUGAUGACUCCAAUUCCAGCAGAAUUCCAACAGCGACCUUUGGCGUUUUGGCUCGUGUGCGACGUAGAAAGAUCCGAUUUCUGUGAAACUUGGUUUGGUGGUUAGUAGACUUCUUGGAGAUUUCGUGAAACCAAUUUGACAGAAAUUGAUUGAGGUUAGUUUGGUCAAAUUGAUAUUUUUCUGAACUGCUGGUGUAUUUGGGCUGAAAUUAAGAUUUUUAUGAUUUUCUUGGAUCA